GUGUACAGUCAUACCACCCUGACUGCACCUGCUCUCAUCUGAUCUCUAAAGCUUGGCAAGGUCGGGCCUGUCUAAUAUAUGGUGGGAAACUGCCUGGGAAUACCAGGUGCUGUAGGCU
This 118-nucleotide ribosomal RNA is filed under the name Castor canadensis (American beaver). Lineage: Eukaryota; Metazoa; Chordata; Mammalia; Rodentia; Castoridae. The record is from RNAcentral.